GACGAACGCUGGCGGCGUGCUUAACACAUGCAAGUCGAACGGAAAGGCCCCUUUGGGGGUACUCGAGUGGCGAACGGGUGAGUAACACGUUAGUAACCUGCCCUUGACUUCGGGAUAACUUCAGUAAACUGGGGCUAAUACCGGAUAGGAAUCCUUGCUGCAUGGUGGGGGUUGGAAAGCUUCGGCGGUUUUGGAUGGACUCGCGGCUUAUCAGCUUGUUGGUGGGGUAGUGGCUUACCAAGGCUUUGACGGGUAGCCGGCCUGAGAGGGCGACCGGCCACAUUGGGACUGAGAGACGGCCCAGACUCCUACGGGAGGCAGCAGUGGGGAAUAUUGCACAAUGGGCGGAAGCCUGAUGCAGCAACGCCGCGUGCGGGAGGACGGCCUUCGGGUUGUAAACCGCUUUCAGCAGGGGCGAAGCUUGUGGUGACGGUACCUGCAGAAGAAGCACCGGCUAACUACGUG
RNAcentral lists this ribosomal RNA (465 nucleotides) under uncultured bacterium. RNAcentral's name for it is "partial 16S ribosomal RNA". It matches the Rfam family "Bacterial small subunit ribosomal RNA", at positions 28 to 507 of the family's 1533-position model. The record is from RNAcentral.